Molecule: ribosomal RNA, 261 nt
Filed under: Klebsiella pneumoniae
Lineage: Bacteria; Pseudomonadati; Pseudomonadota; Gammaproteobacteria; Enterobacterales; Enterobacteriaceae
Description: partial 16S ribosomal RNA
Rfam family: Bacterial small subunit ribosomal RNA
Source: RNAcentral
AAAUUGAAGAGUUUGAUCAUGGCUCAGAUUGAACGCUGGCGGCAGGCCUAACACAUGCAAGUCGAGCGGUAGCACAGAGAGCUUGCUCUCGGGUGACGAGUGGCGGACGGGUGAGUAAUGUCUGGGAAACUGCCUGAUGGAGGGGGAUAACUACUGGAAACGGUAGCUAAUACCGCAUAACGUCGCAAGACCAAAGUGGGGGACCUUCGGGCCUCAUGCCAUCAGAUGUGCCCAGAUGGGAUUAGCUAGUAGGUGGGGUAA